Small nucleolar RNA from Quercus robur (English oak), 136 nucleotides. RefSeq annotates it as small nucleolar RNA snoR145. The record is from RefSeq and is a predicted model, not a curated record. NCBI's taxonomy places the organism in Eukaryota, Viridiplantae, Streptophyta, Magnoliopsida, Fagales, Fagaceae. The transcript has a single exon.
AUGCGAAGGUCCCAGCAGAGAGGGGUAAAUCUCUCUCUAACACAAAUACUAAUUCCUUCGCACAGUUAUAUGCCGAAUCGUAGGAUGCCCAAAAAGCUUUUGUUUUGGACCAUUCUGAACCCUCGGCUACAUUCAA